This 747-nucleotide long non-coding RNA is filed under the name Sinocyclocheilus grahami. RNAcentral describes it as "lncRNA (ENSSGRG00000002168.1)". The record is from RNAcentral. Lineage: Eukaryota; Metazoa; Chordata; Actinopteri; Cypriniformes; Cyprinidae.
GGCAGUUUGAGUGUUGUGGAAAGAAGAAGGGAGAAAAGCAGUACUCCUGUUUUGCAGCCUCUGCUCCAGAUCCAGAAUAUAGAUCCACUGAUGGAGAGCUCGGCCCUUCUGCUGCUCCUCUAACCCUCGACAUAUUAUGCCUUACACAUACGGCUAUCCAGAGCAUGGUUUCCCCUUUUCUGUGGAUCAAAUGGUUGAACGGUGCUGCUCUCCAGUGUUACAGGACAUACCUGCAUGUAUAGAGGCUGAGCUGGACAGGCACCUGAAUGAUGUGUGUAAAGUGAAGGAGCUGGUGAAGCCUCAUUGUUGUGCACCCAAAAUCAAAAACCGUGUCAAAUGUGCCACAAAGCUGCUCCUGCGCUAUAUCGGCAAGGCAGAUAAAGACAGCAGGAGGAAGAUGUGCCCUCAGCUUCAGUUGGUCUGAGUCAGACAGAAUCCCUGAUCUGAUCUCUGAAUGUGGAUCCUUUUUUACAGAGCGCACACAUUUCAAUAUAUGUACACUUGAGUUGAAGCAAACCUGUACCACUUUUUGUUUGUCUUUUAAAAUGCAUUUUAUAUGUCUUACAGAUUAUCAAGAGACAUUUUUCAGCAUUAGAAAAAAAGAACUGCUUGGACAGUUCAAAAUGUUUUGUUUCCACUGUUUCCCCUCUGUUCCCAAAAAUAUAACAAAUUAUAUAUGUAUAUAAUAUAUAAAUAAAAAGUCUUCUGUGAUUGUAUGUUGUUCUCACACAAUAUCAUUUACAUUUA